This 459-nucleotide ribosomal RNA is filed under the name uncultured bacterium. RNAcentral describes it as "partial 16S ribosomal RNA". It matches the Rfam family "Bacterial small subunit ribosomal RNA", at positions 30 to 507 of the family's 1533-position model. The record is from RNAcentral.
AUCGAACGCUGGCGGCAGGCCUAACACAUGCAAGUCGAGCGGAUGAAGGGAGCUUGCUCCUGGAUUCAGCGGCGGACGGGUGAGUAAUGCCUAGGAAUCUGCCUGGUAGUGGGGGAUAACGUCCGGAAACGGGCGCUAAUACCGCAUACGUCCUGAGGGAGAAAGUGGGGGAUCUUCGGACUUCACGCUAUCAGAUGAGCCUAGGUCGGAUUAGCUAGUUGGUGGGGUAAAGGCCUACCAAGGCGACGAUCCGCAACUGGCCUGAGAGGAUGAUCAGGCACACUGGGACUGAGACACUGACCAGACUCCUACGGGAGGCAGCAGUGGGGAUUAUUGGACAAUGGGCGACAGCAUGAUGCAGCAAUGCCGCGUGAGUGAUGAAGGCCGUAGGAUUGUAAAGCUCUUUUACCCGGGAUGAUAAUGACGGUACCGGGAGAAUAAGCUCCGGCUAACUCCGUG